RNAcentral lists this ribosomal RNA (406 nucleotides) under uncultured bacterium. RNAcentral describes it as "partial 16S ribosomal RNA". It matches the Rfam family "Bacterial small subunit ribosomal RNA", at positions 30 to 526 of the family's 1533-position model. The record is from RNAcentral.
AUUGAACGCUGGCGGCAGGCCUAACACAUGCAAGUCGAACGAGCGGCGGACGGGUGAGUAAUGUAUGGGGAACUGCCCGAUAGAGGGGGAUAACUACUGGAAACGGUAGCUAAUACCGCAUACUAUCGGAUGUGCCCAUAUGGGAUUAGCUAGUAGGUGGGGUAAAGGCUCACCUAGGCGACGAUCCCUAGCUGGUCUGAGAGGAUGAUCAGCCACACUGGAACUGAGCCACGGGCCAGACUCCUACGGGAGGCAGCAGUGGGGAAUAUUGCACAAUGGGCGCAAGCCUGAUGCAGCCAUGCCGCGUGUAUGAAGAAGGCCUUAGGGUUGUAAAGUACUUUCAGCGGGGAGGCGUUACCCGCAGAAGAAGCACCGGCUAACUCCGUGCCAGCAGCCGCGGUAAUUC